GUUUGUAUGCUAGAAAUCCGUCUGCGAUGCAUGCGGUUUCCAGGGUAACAAUAGAAGAAAAGUUUAUUAAUCAAUACACAAUCAAUAUUGAUCACACAAUCACAAUCAAUUUGUUCAUGAAAAGGAUCUCUUUAGUUUUUUUAUACAUAGAUAGUGAAUUGUGUGAAUAACAACUCCUGCAUUGAGGUAUAAAGCAAGUUUAUUAGCUGAUGAAACUGACUGAAAGUGAAUAUUUUCAUCUCCAAAUGGCAUAAAUCACACUAAAGCUGCUGGCGGACACUGAGAUUCAACGCAGCCUGGAAAAACUGGUCCAGAUGUUCAAGGGAUUCACCCUUUGGAACAAAGACCGAUUAAAGCUUCACAUAAGCCCAAGGCUCAGGAUUCAACCUCCUCCUGGGCCUCCUCCUGGGCCUCCUCUUGGGCCUCCUCCUGGGCCUCCUCCUGGACCUCCUCCUGGGCCUCCUCUUCAAUCUCCUCCUGGGCCUCCUCUUGGACCUCCUCCCGUUUCUCCUCCUGGGCCUCCUCCUGGGCCUCCUCUUGGACCUCCUCUUGGACCUCCUCCUGGACCACAUCCCAUAGAGACUUCAAGCACGACAUGCAACAUUUGCUCUUCUUCUUCCCCUUCUGUUUGAGAGUCUGUAUCGGGGCCCCAUGGUUCUCGUCACUCCUCCCUCUUUCCAUGAUGAUCGACGCUUCUUUGUUUGUUUUCUUUAUCUGUUUUCUUUGUCUUUGUUUUUUUGGACAAUUGGCCGGUGGACUGUUUUGGCUUUCAGAUGGAUUUAUCCGAACUGGGAAGACAAAGCGUGUGUUAAUGUCUGUCUGUCAUGGUAAUGGCUGGACACACGUUAUGUCAUGAACCACGUCUUGUGUAAACUCACACGCUCACAGUGCUCGACAAUACAAGCAUUUCUCACAGUAACAACAUCCCGAGUCUCACAUGUUCUACUGCCUUGAAGUUUCUCACAUUCUCAAAACCCUGUCUCCUGUCUCUCUACCAGUUCCCCCUUUUCUCAAACCCCUGUGCUCCUUAUGUACAGCUUCCACUAAUCAGAAACUAACUGAUCCCAAUCAGCUGCAGUGACGGUGUGUCGUUACAAUGUUGUUUGGUUCAGAAAUGGCAGCUUUUGCUAAUUUAGUGAAUCUGUCAGCAUUUGUUCAUUGCAACUACUUGGCUGCGUUCGAUUUGCAUCCUCAUCUUACUUUGUCUUAAGGAAUCUACACAAGUAGCAUUCCCCCUUGAAACUGUUCCUCAGAAAACACAGAGGAAAUGAUUUAAUCGAACAGUUAUAUACAAACUACAUUUGAAAUGUAUUAUUUUACUGGCUGCUGAAUCCACGUGAUAAAGAAGCAUUUUCUACAUAACACCUUUUGAUAUAACAACAUAUUAUAUGCAGAGCUGUCCGGUUUCAUUAAAGAGAAAAUCCUAAACACUCUGUGGAGUGAAGACAGAUUAACAGUUCUUCCACACUGAUGAUCAUUUCUCGUGCCAGGAGUUGAGGUCCUGUUUUAACAGUCGGAUACAACUGCUCCCCACAGACAUGAUCAGGUAUUAAGUGAUAACCCUGAUGGUGAAAUAGCAUCUUAUCUUUGCCAUCGGGUGACUCCAUCAGCCUCGUCCACCAUGAAAGCAACUAGGAAAGGAGGUAAGAGACGGCCAUUAGGAGAAGAGACAAAAAGAGUUGCGUUCUUACCUUACCUUACUUUGCUUUCAGAGUUGCCUUUCUCUCAACUAGAAUCUUUACUUUUUGUAGAGGUAGACUUUCACCUUCACACGUGUCUUCAGGUUUAACAGGUUGGGCCAAGAGGCACUUGCCUUGACAGGGACGAGUUAUUAACAGCAUAACCGACAUUUUGUCUUAAAAGUGUAACAAAACGUUUCCAUAUUACACCUCGCUGAUAUUUACAAAAACUAUGAGAUGUUUCCAUUAGUAAUGUCUGUAAACACAGUAAUAGAAUGGAUGGAGUUAAGUAUGAUGAUUUAAGAAAUGCUUUGAUAAUAAUGACUUGGAUCUAUGAAUUAAAUGUGUG
Long non-coding RNA from Gasterosteus aculeatus aculeatus (three-spined stickleback), 2028 nucleotides. NCBI's taxonomy places the organism in Eukaryota, Metazoa, Chordata, Actinopteri, Perciformes, Gasterosteidae. The record is from Ensembl.